UGCAAGCCUUAAUUGACACUGCAUUGUGGCC
This 31-nucleotide non-coding RNA is filed under the name Homo sapiens (human). The record is from RNAcentral. Lineage: Eukaryota; Metazoa; Chordata; Mammalia; Primates; Hominidae.